GACGAACGCUGGCGGCGUGCUUAACACAUGCAAGUCGAACGGAAAGGCCCUGCUUUUGUGGGGUGCUCGAGUGGCGAACGGGUGAGUAACACGUGAGUAACCUGCCCUUGACUUUGGGAUAACUUCAGGAAACUGGGGCUAAUACCGGAUAGGAGCUCCUGCUGCAUGGUGGGGGUUGGAAAGUUUCGGCGGUUGGGGAUGGACUCGCGGCUUAUCAGCUUGUUGGUGGGGUAGUGGCUUACCAAGGCUUUGACGGGUAGCCGGCCUGAGAGGGUGACCGGCCACAUUGGGACUGAGAUACGGCCCAGACUCCUACGGGAGGCAGCAGGGGGGAAUAGUGCACAAUGGGCGGAAGCCUGAUGCAGCAACGCCGCGUGCGGGAGGACGGCCUUCGGUUUGUAAACCGCUUUCGCCUGUGGCGAAGCGUGAGUGACGGUAAUGGGUAAAGAAGCACCGGCUAACUACGUG
RNAcentral lists this ribosomal RNA (468 nucleotides) under uncultured bacterium. RNAcentral describes it as "partial 16S ribosomal RNA". It matches the Rfam family "Bacterial small subunit ribosomal RNA", at positions 28 to 507 of the family's 1533-position model. The record is from RNAcentral.